This 459-nucleotide RNase P RNA is filed under the name Candidatus Dojkabacteria bacterium. RNAcentral describes it as "RNase P RNA component class A". It matches the Rfam family "Bacterial RNase P class A". Rfam says of the family: Ribonuclease P (RNase P) is a ubiquitous endoribonuclease, found in archaea, bacteria and eukarya as well as chloroplasts and mitochondria. Its best characterised activity is the generation of mature 5'-ends of tRNAs by cleaving the 5'-leader elements of precursor-tRNAs. The record is from RNAcentral.
GUAGAUAAAGUGGUGCUGAGAGGAAAGUCCGGACACUUAUAGGGAGCAAUCCCCAUAAAACCGAACAGCUAACGGCUGCCUCCUGAGCAAUCAGGACGGGAAAGUGCCACAGAGACUAUACCGCCCAGCACCACUUUUUGGAAUCAAGAUUAAAAAUGUUUUGUCUUCAAAAAGUGGUGCUGGGUAAGGGUGAAAAGAGUGGGGUAAGAGCCCACAGUUGUGCAUGGUAACAUACACAAGUGGAAAACCCUCGGCGGUGCAAGUGAGUUGGCCCCAGCACCACUUGGUCCAAAUAUCCUUUUUGUAAAAUUACACUGUCUUUGCAGAUGUGAUAAAACAAUUCAAUUGAUGUUUUGAGCAAGUGGUGCUGGGAGGCUCAUGCUUGAGGUGAUAGGCGACUAUCAUCCCAGAGAGAUACAUAUCGAGAUACAGAAUCCGGCUUACUACUUGGGUACUUUU